RNAcentral lists this ribosomal RNA (467 nucleotides) under uncultured bacterium. RNAcentral's name for it is "partial 16S ribosomal RNA". It matches the Rfam family "Bacterial small subunit ribosomal RNA", at positions 28 to 507 of the family's 1533-position model. The record is from RNAcentral.
GACGAACGCUGGCGGCGUGCUUAACACAUGCAAGUCGAACGGAAAGGCCUCUUUCGGGGGGUACUCGAGUGGCGAACGGGUGAGUAACACGUGAGUAACCUGCCCUUGACUUUGGGAUAACUUCAGGAAACUGGGGCUAAUACCGGAUAGGAGCUCCUGCUGCAUGGUGGGGGUUGGAAAGUUUCGGCGGUUGGGGAUGGAAUCGCGGCUUAUCAGCUUGUUGGUGGGGUAGUGGCUUACCAAGGCUUUGACGGGUAGCCGGCCUGAGAGGGUGACCGGCCACAUUGGGACUGAGAUACGGCCCAGACUCCUACGGGAGGCAGCAGUGGGGAAUAUUGCACAAUGGGUGGAAGCCUGAUGCAGCAACGCCGUGUGCGGGAUGACGGCCUUCGGGUUGUAAACCGCUUUCGCUCAUGACGAAGCUUUGUGUGACGGUAGUGGGUAAAGAAGCACCGGCUAACUACGUG